RNAcentral lists this ribosomal RNA (434 nucleotides) under uncultured bacterium. Its description in RNAcentral is "bacterial SSU rRNA". It matches the Rfam family "Bacterial small subunit ribosomal RNA", at positions 29 to 507 of the family's 1533-position model. The record is from RNAcentral.
AACGAACGCUGGCGGCAGGCCUAACACAUGCAAGUCGAACGCCCUAGCAAUAGGGAGUGGCAGACGGGUGAGUAACACGUGGGAACCUUCCCUAUAGUACGGAAUAGCCCAGGGAAACUUGGGAGUAAUACCGUAUAAGCCCGAGAGGGGAAAGAUUUAUCGCUAUAGGAUGGGCCCGCGUCGGAUUAGCUAGUUGGUGAGGUAAUGGCUCACCAAGGCGACGAUCCGUAGCUGGUUUGAGAGAACGACCAGCCACACUGGGACUGAGACACGGCCCAGACUCCUACGGGAGGCAGCAGUGGGGAAUAUUGGACAAUGGGCGAAAGCCUGAUCCAGCCAUGCCGCGUGAGUGAUGAAGGCCUUAGGGUUGUAAAGCUCUUUUGUCGGGGACGAUAAUGACGGUACCCUGGGAAUAAGCAUCGGCUAACUCCGUG